This 395-nucleotide transfer-messenger RNA is filed under the name Lyngbya sp. PCC 8106. It matches the Rfam family "transfer-messenger RNA". Rfam says of the family: Bacterial tmRNA, also known as 10Sa RNA or SsrA, is named for its dual tRNA and mRNA-like properties. Its role is to liberate the mRNA from a stalled ribosome. RNAcentral also lists the same sequence under 2 other names. The record is from Rfam by way of RNAcentral. Lineage: Bacteria; Bacillati; Cyanobacteriota; Cyanophyceae; Oscillatoriales; Microcoleaceae.
GGGGCAUUACUGGUUUCGACAGGACGACGAAAACUACCUUGUGAUUCAGGUCGAGAGUAAGUCACCUCUCGUAAAUACAUGACUUAAAAAAAUAAGUGCAAACAACAUUGUAUCUUUCGCUCGUCCUCGCGUAGCAGUAGCUGCGUAGGAACAAAAACCUCACUUAGGUUUUGAGCAUCUGUAGUUUGACUCCGUUAAGGACUAUAGAUAUAACCCCAACGGAUGUUCUAGUGAGGCGUUUCUGGUCGCCGAUCUAGAGAAAACUCUACCAGUAUCCCUCACUAUCUAGGGUUACAGAUAGUUCCCGCUCUGAGGGUUAGAAGGGCUAAACCUGUGAACGAACAAGAAGUCAAUACUCGUUUUGGACAUGGGUUCGAUUCCCAUAUGCUCCAUAU